CAAAAGGCUCUUUUUAGAGCCACCACAGUGUCAAGCGGAGGGCUG
This is a non-coding RNA of Oryctolagus cuniculus (rabbit), 45 nucleotides long. The record is from Rfam. NCBI's taxonomy places the organism in Eukaryota, Metazoa, Chordata, Mammalia, Lagomorpha, Leporidae.